RNAcentral lists this ribosomal RNA (253 nucleotides) under uncultured bacterium. RNAcentral describes it as "partial 16S ribosomal RNA". It matches the Rfam family "Bacterial small subunit ribosomal RNA", at positions 524 to 776 of the family's 1533-position model. The record is from RNAcentral.
UACGAAGGGGGCUAGCGUUGCUCGGAAUCACUGGGCGUAAAGGGUGCGUAGGCGGGUCUUUAAGUCAGGGGUGAAAUCCUGGAGCUCAACUCCAGAACUGCCUUUGAUACUGAAGAUCUUGAGUCCGGGAGAGGUGAGUGGAACUGCGAGUGUAGAGGUGAAAUUCGUAGAUAUUCGCAAGAGCACCAGUGGCGAAGGCGGCUCACUGGCCCGGUACUGACGCUGAGGUGCGAAAGCGUGGGGAGCAAACAGG